AACGAACGCUGGCGGCAUGCCUAACACAUGCAAGUCGAACGAGACCUUCGGGUCUAGUGGCGCACGGGUGCGUAACGCGUGGGAACCUGCCCUUAGGUUCGGAAUAACUCCCCGAAAGGGGUGCUAAUACCGGAUAAUGUCUUCGGACCAAAGAUUUAUCGCCUUUGGAUGGGCCCGCGUUGGAUUAGCUAGUUGGUAGGGUAAAAGCCUACCAAGGCGACGAUCCAUAGCUGGUCUGAGAGGAUGAUCAGCCACACUGGGACUGAGACACGGCCCAGACUCCUACGGGAGGCAGGAAGGGGGGAUAUUGGACAAUGGGGGAAAGCCUGAUCCAGCAAUGGCGCGUGAGUGAUUAAGGCCUUAGGGUUGUAAAGCUCUUUUACCCGGGAUGAUAAUGACAGUACCGGGAGAAUAAGCUCCGGCUAACUCCGUG
Molecule: ribosomal RNA, 433 nt
Filed under: uncultured bacterium
Lineage: Bacteria
Description: partial 16S ribosomal RNA
Rfam family: Bacterial small subunit ribosomal RNA
Source: RNAcentral